This 639-nucleotide long non-coding RNA is filed under the name Manihot esculenta (cassava). RNAcentral describes it as "long non-coding RNA (MESC_LNC009803)". The record is from RNAcentral. Lineage: Eukaryota; Viridiplantae; Streptophyta; Magnoliopsida; Malpighiales; Euphorbiaceae.
UUGUGAGACUUGAUCAAAUAUUGUUUAAUUUUUGGGAAUUCAAUAUUCAUGCAAUUUCAUAUUUAAUUCUCAUAUUAUUUUGUUAUUGAGAUCUACGUUGAUUUUUUAUUGCAAAAUAAUUAUUUGUUAGUUUGAAUAAUUUAAGUCCGUAAUUGCUUGGGUUAUUCUUAUAUGAGAACACUUUGGAUAAAACCCAAGAAAGUUGUAUGAUCUAGCGUUAUCUCCAUACGUUUGGGUAGUUAGGAUUGGAUCUCUCUAUUUCUUAAUGCAAUUGACAAUUGUUUUGAUGCCUAAGGCCCAAGGACGUUCCUUGACAAUUUGUUAAUUAGUAAUUAAUUAGAGGACGUUCCCUAAUUGGUUUAAUCAUAAGGAGAGAUAAUGGUGGUGAGAAGCGUCUUCCAUCUCCAUAAAUAAUCUAUUGAAUCAACCCAAAAGAACAAAGUGUCUGUGAUCAAUCCCAACAACUAAAGUGGAUCCAAUACUUCAACUAGAGCUUUCUCAUUAUUGAUUACUUUUUAUUUAAUUAUUUGCUUUCCAUUAUUUUUCUCAUUAUUAGUUUACUACAAUCAAUCUCAAACCCCCCUGUUAUUUUGUUGACAGUUUUGAUCCCAAUUUUCAAUUUAUCUCAUUUGAUCCCAC